CACGUAGGGCGCGAGCGUUGUCCGGAAUUAUUGGGCGUAAAGAGCUCGUAGGCGGCUUGUCACGUCGGGUGUGAAAGCCCGGGGCUUAACCCCGGGUCUGCAUUCGAUACGGGCUAGCUAGAGUGUGGUAGGGGAGAUCGGAAUUCCUGGUGUAGCGGUGAAAUGCGCAGAUAUCAGGAGGAACACCGGUGGCGAAAGGCGAGUCCCUGGACACUUCCUGACACUGAGGCACGAAAGCUAGGGGAGCAAACAGG
This 254-nucleotide ribosomal RNA is filed under the name uncultured bacterium. RNAcentral's name for it is "partial 16S ribosomal RNA". It matches the Rfam family "Bacterial small subunit ribosomal RNA", at positions 524 to 776 of the family's 1533-position model. The record is from RNAcentral.